GAGUUUGAUCUUGGCUCAGAUUGAACGCUGGCGGCAUGCCUUACACAUGCAAGUCGAACGGCAGCACGGGAGCUUGCUCCUGGUGGCGAGUGGCGAACGGGUGAGUAAUGCAUCGGAACGUAUCCUGGAGUGGGGGAUAACGUAGCGAAAGUUACGCUAAUGCCGCAUAUUCUGUGAGCAGGAAAGCGGGGGACCUUCGGGCCUCGCGCUCUUGGAGCGGCCGAUGUCGGAUUAGCUAGUUGGUGAGGUAAAGGCUCACCAAGGCGACGAUCCGUAGCAGGUCUGAGAGGAUGAUCUGCCACACUGGAGCUGAGACACGGUCCAGACUCCUACGGGAGGCAGCAGUGGGGAAUUUUGGACAAUGGGGGCAACCCUGAUCCAGCCAUGCCGCGUGAGUGAAGAAGGCCUCGG
Molecule: ribosomal RNA, 411 nt
Filed under: bacterium enrichment culture clone ALO1_GLFRUDD03G340I
Lineage: Bacteria
Description: bacterial SSU rRNA
Rfam family: Bacterial small subunit ribosomal RNA
Source: RNAcentral